Molecule: ribosomal RNA, 554 nt
Filed under: uncultured Glomus
Lineage: Eukaryota; Fungi; Glomeromycota; Glomeromycetes; Glomerales; Glomeraceae
Description: SSU rRNA
Rfam family: Eukaryotic small subunit ribosomal RNA
Source: RNAcentral
AUUUGGAGGGCAAGUCUGGUGCCAGCAGCCGCGGUAAUUCCAGCUCCAAUAGCGUAUAUUAAAGUUGUUGCAGUUAAAAAGCUCGUAGUUGAAUUUCGGGAUCAGUAGGUUGGUCGUGCCACAGGUAUGAACUGGUCUCACUGAUUCCUCCUUCCUGAUGAACCGUAAUGCCAUUAAUUUGGUGUUGCGGGGAGACUGGACUGUUACUUUGAAAAAAUUAGAGUGUUUAAAGCAGGCUCACGCUUGAAUACAUUAGCAUGGAAUAAUGAAAUAGGACAUCCGAUUCUAUUUUGUUGGUUUCUAGGAUCGAUGUAAUGAUUAAUAGGGAUAGUUGGGGGCAUUAGUAUUCAAUUGUCAGAGGUGAAAUUCUUGGAUUUAUUGAAGACUAACUACUGCGAAAGCAUUUGCCAAGGAUGUUUUCAUUAAUCAAGAACGAAAGUUAGGGGAUCGAAGACGAUCAGAUACCGUCGUAGUCUUAACCAUAAACUAUGCCGACUAGGGAUCGGAUGAUGUUAAUUUUUUAAUGACUCAUUCGGCGCCUUACGGGAAACAAU